Molecule: ribosomal RNA, 482 nt
Filed under: uncultured bacterium
Lineage: Bacteria
Description: partial 16S ribosomal RNA
Rfam family: Bacterial small subunit ribosomal RNA
Source: RNAcentral
UGAACGCUGGCGGCAUGCCUUACACAUGCAAGUCGACCGGCAGCGCGGGAGCAAUCCUGGCGGCGAGUGGCGAACGGGUGAGUAAUACAUCGGAACGUGCCCAAUCGUGGGGGAUAACGCAGCGAAAGCUGUGCUAAUACCGCAUACGAUCUACGGAUGAAAGCAGGGGAUCGCAAGACCUUGCGCGAAUGGAGCGGCCGAUGGCAGAUUAGGUAGUUGGUGAGGUAAAGGCUCACCAAGCCUUCGAUCUGUAGCUGGUCUGAGAGGACGACCAGCCACACUGGGACUGAGACACGGCCCAGACUCCUACGGGAGGCAGCAGUGGGGAAUUUUGGACAAUGGGCGAAAGCCUGAUCCAGCCAUGCCGCGUGCAGGAUGAAGGCCUUCGGGUUGUAAACUGCUUUUGUACGGAACGAAACGGUCUUUUCUAAUAAAGAAGGCUAAUGACGGUACCGUAAGAAUAAGCACCGGCUAACUACGUG